GCUGGGUGUGGUGGUGGGCACCUGUAAUCCCAGCUACUCGGGAGGCUGAGGCAGGAGAAUGGCUUGAACCCAGGAGGCUUUGGUUGCAGUGAGCUGAGAUCGCGCCACUGCACUCCAGCCUGGUGACAGAGCAAGACUCUGUCUCAA
RNAcentral lists this non-coding RNA (147 nucleotides) under Pan troglodytes (chimpanzee). Lineage: Eukaryota; Metazoa; Chordata; Mammalia; Primates; Hominidae. The record is from Rfam by way of RNAcentral.